AUUGAACGCUGGCGGCAGGCCUAACACAUGCAAGUCGAGCGGAUGAAGGGAGCUUGCUCCUGGAUUCAGCGGCGGACGGGUGGGUAAUGCCUAGGAAUCUGCCUGGUAGUGGGGGAUAACGUCCGGAAACGGGCGCUAAUACCGCAUACGUCCUGAGGGAGAAAGUGGGGGAUCUUCGGACCUCACGCUAUCAGAUGAGCCUAGGUCGGAUUAGCUAGUUGGUGGGGUAAAGGCCUACCAAGGCGACGAUCCGUAACUGGUCUGAGAGGAUGAUCAGUCACACUGGAACUGAGACACGGUCCAGACUCCUACGGGAGGCAGCAGUGGGGAAUAUUGGACAAUGGGCGAAAGCCUGAUCCAGCCAUGCCGCGUGUGUGAAGAAGGUCUUCGGAUUGUAAAGCACUUUACGUUGGGAGGAAGGGCAGUAAGUUAAUACCUUGCUGUUUUGACGUUACCAACAGAAUAAGCACCGGCUAACUUCGUG
RNAcentral lists this ribosomal RNA (484 nucleotides) under uncultured bacterium. RNAcentral's name for it is "partial 16S ribosomal RNA". It matches the Rfam family "Bacterial small subunit ribosomal RNA", at positions 30 to 507 of the family's 1533-position model. The record is from RNAcentral.